AACCGAGUCUUAAUUGGGCGUUAAGUUGCAGGGUAUAGACCCGAAACCCGGUGAUCUAGCCAUGGGCAGGUUGAAGGUUGGGUAACACUAACUGGAGGACCGAACCGACUAAUGUUGAAAAAUUAGCGGAUGACCUGUGGCUGGGGGUGAAAGGCCAAUCAAACCGGGAGAUAGCUGGUUCUCCCCGAAAGCUAUUUAGGUAGCGCCUCGUGAAUUCAUCUCCGGGGGUAGAGCACUGUUUCGGCUAGGGGGCCAUCCCGGCUUACCAACCCGAUGCAAACUGCGAAUACCGGAGAAUGUUAUCACGGGAGACACACGGCGGGUGCUAACGUCCGUCGUGAAGAGGGAAACAACCCAGACCGCCAGCUAAGGUCCCAAAGUCAUGGUUAAGUGGGAAACGAUGUGGGAAGGCCCAGACAGCCAGGAUGUUGGCUUAGAAGCAGCCAUCAUUUAAAGAAAGCGUAAUAGCUCACUGGUCGAGUCGGCCUGCGCGGAAGAUGUAACGGGGCUAAACCAUGCACCGAAGCUGCGGCAGCGACACUGUGUGUUGUUGGGUAGGGGAGCGUUCUGUAAGCCUGUGAAGGUGGCCUGUGAGGGUUGCUGGAGGUAUCAGAAGUGCGAAUGCUGACAUAAGUAACGAUAAAGCGGGUGAAAAGCCCGCUCGCCGGAAGACCAAGGGUUCCUGUCCAACGUUAAUCGGGGCAGGGUGAGUCGACCCCUAAGGCGAGGCCGAAAGGCGUAGUCGAUGGGAAACGGGUUAAUAUUCCCGUACUUGGUGUUACUGCGAAGGGGGGACGGAGAAGGCUAUGUUGGCCGGGCGACGGUUGUCCCGGUUUAAGCGUGUAGGUGUGUGUUCCAGGUAAAUCCGGUUCACUUUAACACUGAGGCGUGAUGACGAGGCACUACGGUGCUGAAGCAACAAAUGCCCUGCUUCCAGGAAAAGCCUCUAAGCAUCAGGUAACAUCAAAUCGUACCCCAAACCGACACAGGUGGUCAGGUAGAGAAUACCAAGGCGCUUGAGAGAACUCGGGUGAAGGAACUAGGCAAAAUGGUGCCGUAACUUCGGGAGAAGGCACGCUGACACGUAGGUGAAGUGAUUUACUCAUGGAGCUGAAGUCAGUCGAAGAUACCAGCUGGCUGCAACUGUUUAUUAAAAACACAGCACUGUGCAAACACGAAAGUGGACGUAUACGGUGUGACGCCUGCCCGGUGCCGGAAGGUUAAUUGAUGGGGUCAGCGCAAGCGAAGCUCCUGAUCGAAGCCCCGGUAAACGGCGGCCGUAACUAUAACGGUCCUAAGGUAGCGAAAUUCCUUGUCGGGUAAGUUCCGACCUGCACGAAUGGCGUAAUGAUGGCCAGGCUGUCUCCACCCGAGACUCAGUGAAAUUGAACUCGCUGUGAAGAUGCAGUGUACCCGCGGCAAGACGGAAAGACCCCGUGAACCUUUACUAUAGCUUGACACUGAACAUUGAGCCUUGAUGUGUAGGAUAGGUGGGAGGCUUUGAAGUGUGGACGCCAGUCUGCAUGGAGCCGACCUUGAAAUACCACCCUUUAAUGUUUGAUGUUCUAACGUGGACCCGUAAUCCGGGUUGCGGACAGUGUCUGGUGGGUAGUUUGACUGGGGCGGUCUCCUCCUAAAGAGUAACGGAGGAGCACGAAGGUUGGCUAAUCCUGGUCGGACAUCAGGAGGUUAGUGCAAUGGCAUAAGCCAGCUUGACUGCGAGCGUGACGGCGCGAGCAGGUGCGAAAGCAGGUCAUAGUGAUCCGGUGGUUCUGAAUGGAAGGGCCAUCGCUCAACGGAUAAAAGGUACUCCGGGGAUAACAGGCUGAUACCGCCCAAGAGUUCAUAUCGACGGCGGUGUUUGGCACCUCGAUGUCGGCUCAUCACAUCCUGGGGCUGAAGUAGGUCCCAAGGGUAUGGCUGUUCGCCAUUUAAAGUGGUACGCGAGCUGGGUUUAGAACGUCGUGAGACAGUUCGGUCCCUAUCUGCCGUGGGCGCUGGAGAACUGAGGGGGGCUGCUCCUAGUACGAGAGGACCGGAGUGGACGCAUCACUGGUGUUCGGGUUGUCAUGCCAAUGGCACUGCCCGGUAGCUAAAUGCGGAAGAGAUAAGUGCUGAAAGCAUCUAAGCACGAAACUUGCCCCGAGAUGAGUUCUCCCUGAGACUUUAGGUCUCCUGAAGGAACGUUGAAGACGACGACGUUGAUAGGCCGGG
RNAcentral lists this ribosomal RNA (2214 nucleotides) under Salmonella enterica subsp. enterica serovar Agona. RNAcentral describes it as "partial 23S ribosomal RNA". It matches the Rfam family "Bacterial large subunit ribosomal RNA", at positions 675 to 2865 of the family's 2925-position model. Lineage: Bacteria; Pseudomonadati; Pseudomonadota; Gammaproteobacteria; Enterobacterales; Enterobacteriaceae. The record is from RNAcentral.